Molecule: ribosomal RNA, 421 nt
Filed under: uncultured Bacteroidota bacterium
Lineage: Bacteria; Pseudomonadati; Bacteroidota
Description: bacterial SSU rRNA
Rfam family: Bacterial small subunit ribosomal RNA
Source: RNAcentral
GAUUAUGGGGAACUUCGCCGUGCUUUACCGUGCAAGACUGAGAGGUAUCAAGGAUUGCUUGCAAUCCGCUGACGACCGGCGCACGGGUGCGUAACGCGUAUGCAACCUACCUUCUACAGGGGGAUAGUCAAUAGAAAUGUUGAAUAAUACCCCAUACGAUCAUGAAUUCGCAUGGAUUUAUGAGGAAAGUUCCGGCGGUAGAAGAUGGGCAUGCGUCCUAUUAGUUAGUUGGUAAGGUAACGGCUUACCAAGACAUCGAUAGGUAGGGGUCCUGAGAGGGAGAUCCCCCACACUGGUACUGAGACACGGACCAGACUCCUACGGGAGGCAGCAGUGAGGAAUAUUGGACAAUGGAGGCAACUCUGAUCCAGCCAUGCCGCGUGCAGGAAGACGGCCCUAUGGGUUGUAAACUGCUUUUAUA